Molecule: ribosomal RNA, 319 nt
Filed under: uncultured Pseudomonadota bacterium
Lineage: Bacteria; Pseudomonadati; Pseudomonadota
Description: bacterial SSU rRNA
Rfam family: Bacterial small subunit ribosomal RNA
Source: RNAcentral
AUUGAACGCUGGCGGCAUGCCUUACACAUGCAAGUCGAACGGUAACGCGGGGCAACCUGGCGACGAGUGGCGAACGGGUGAGUAAUAUAUCGGAACGUGCCCAGAGGUGGGGGAUAGCCCGGCGAAAGCCGGAUUAAUACCGCAUACGACCUACGGGUGAAAGCGGGGGAUCGCAAGACCUCGCGCCAUUGGAGCGGCCGAUAUCAGAUUAGGUAGUUGGUGGGGUAAAGGCCUACCAAGCCAACGAUCUGUAGCUGGUCUGAGAGGACGACCAGCCACACUGGGACUGAGACACGGCCCAGACUCCUACGGGAGGCAG